CAAUGACUUUAAAUGUGUAGUCUUGGAAGUGGUGAAACCCAAACCUUAUACACACAGUGACAUGCAGAGAAUAUUACUGCAAAGAGAGGCUUUCUGGACUUUUGUAUUAAAAACAGAAUAUCCCACUGGUCUCAAUGCUGCCCUUGAUUUAUCAUGUUUUUUAGGAGAAUGAAUCUACACCCUCCUAUAUCCCUGCCUGUUAUUAUGUUCCUUAAACCCUUCAUGAGAUUCUCUAUUCUUAAUAUACUUUGUUCUAUACUCUUCCACAUAUUUACCCUCUUUGUAAAUAGCUGGUUGCCAACUUAUGAUAUACUUACCUUUUCUUCUGGUCAGUUGGCUGCCCAAACCGGAUAUGCACUUUGUAUUUAAAGAGGAAGCUUCCAAUUAACUAGCAAGACUGACUUGUCCAUGUAAAAGAAUCAGUGUGUAGGAGCCAACUUAUGACAUACUUACCUUCUCUUCUGGUCAGUUGGCUGCCCAAACCGGAUAUGCACUUUGUAUUUAUAGAGGAAGCUUCCAAUUAACUAGUAAGACUGACUUGUCCAUGUAAAAGAAUCAGUGUGUAGGAGCUGUGUGAGCCAUUUUGAAUGUUUUGGAUACCCUUGUGGUGCAUUGAAUUGCAGAAGUUCAUUGAAUAUUGAAGACUGAGAUUGAGAAAGAUCACUCGAAACGAACGCAG
This is a long non-coding RNA of Gekko japonicus, 679 nucleotides long. RefSeq lists it as uncharacterized. The record is from RefSeq and is a predicted model, not a curated record. The transcript has 3 exons. Lineage: Eukaryota; Metazoa; Chordata; Lepidosauria; Squamata; Gekkonidae.